Molecule: ribosomal RNA, 467 nt
Filed under: uncultured bacterium
Lineage: Bacteria
Description: partial 16S ribosomal RNA
Rfam family: Bacterial small subunit ribosomal RNA
Source: RNAcentral
GAUGAACGCUGACAGAAUGCUUAACACAUGCAAGUCAACUUGAAUUUGGGUUUUUAACUUCGGUUUGGGUGGCGGACGGGUGAGUAACGCGUAAAGAACUUGCCUCACAGCUAGGGACAACAUUUGGAAACGAAUGCUAAUACCUAAUAUUAUGAUAAUAGGGCAUCCUAUAAUUAUGAAAGCUAUAAGCGCUGUGAGAGAGCUUUGCGUCCCAUUAGCUAGUUGGAGAGGUAACGGCUCACCAAGGCGAUGAUGGGUAGCCGGCCUGAGAGGGUGAUCGGCCACAAGGGGACUGAGACACGGCCCUUACGCCUACGGGAGGCAGCAGUGGGGAAUAUUGGACAAUGGACCGAGAGUCUGAUCCAGCAAUUCUGUGUGCACGAUGAAGUUUUUCGGAAUGUAAAGUGCUUUCAGUUGGGAAGAAACAAAUGACGGUACCAACAGAAGAAGAGACGGCUAAAUACGUG